UCCUACGGGAGGCAGCAGUGGGGAAUUUUGGACAAUGGGGGAAACCCUAAUCCAGCCCACCCGCGUGGUGGAUGAAGGCCUUCGGGAUGUAAACUGAUUUUGAGUGGAAAGAAAGGGCAUUUAGUAAUAACCGGGCGUUGACGUACCGCA
Molecule: ribosomal RNA, 150 nt
Filed under: Achromobacter xylosoxidans
Lineage: Bacteria; Pseudomonadati; Pseudomonadota; Betaproteobacteria; Burkholderiales; Alcaligenaceae
Description: partial 16S ribosomal RNA
Rfam family: Bacterial small subunit ribosomal RNA
Source: RNAcentral